Molecule: ribosomal RNA, 393 nt
Filed under: uncultured bacterium
Lineage: Bacteria
Description: bacterial SSU rRNA
Rfam family: Bacterial small subunit ribosomal RNA
Source: RNAcentral
GACGAACGCUGGCGGCGUGCCUAACACAUGCAAGUGGAGCGACGAACCAGGCUUCGGCCUGGGGCAGAGCCGCGAACGGGUGAGUAACACGUGGGUAACCUGCCCUGAUGAUUGGGACAACCCGAGGAAACUCGGGCUAAUACCAAAUGUGCCCCCUGGCCGUAAGGCCUCUGGGAAAGAGCUUCGGCCUCCGCAUCGGGAUGGGCCCGCGGCCCAUUAGCUUGUUGGUGAGGUAAUGGCNCACCAAGGCUACGAUGGGUAGCUGGUCUGAGAGGACGAUCAGCCACACUGGGACUGAGACACGGCCCAGACUCCUACGGGAGGCAGCAGUGGGGAAUCUUGCGCAAUGCGCGAAAGCGUGACGCAAGCAACGCCGCGUGGGGGAAGAAGGCC